This 1164-nucleotide ribosomal RNA is filed under the name Brachythemis leucosticta. RNAcentral's name for it is "partial 16S ribosomal RNA". The record is from RNAcentral. Lineage: Eukaryota; Metazoa; Arthropoda; Insecta; Odonata; Libellulidae.
AUUAAUUAUGUUCUUACUUGUAAUUUUAUAAUUUAUUUGGAGAAAAAUCUUUAUAUUUAGUAUACUAAAGAAAAAUUAUUUUUUGUUAUAGUGAAUUAGUACUGUGAAGGAAUGAAUUAAAUAUUAUAAUAUAAAUUUAAUUUAAGUAUAUUUUAUUUGUAGUACCUUUUGUAUCAGGGUUGAUCAAAUUAUUUAAUCUAUAAUUAAAUCUCGAUUUUAAAAGAGCUAAUUUAUUAUUUUAGUUAAUGUAUUAUAAUUAUUAAAAAUAUAAAUUAGCGGAGAAAUUUCAUUCGAUUUUAAAGGUAUCUAGUUUUUUAAGAAAUAAAUUCAAUUUAAUUUUAAUAGUUAAAUUAUAUAUUAUUAUAUAAUUUAUAUAUUAAAUUAAAAAUUAUAGGGGAUAAGCUCUAUAAUUAUUCUAUAAAAAUUUUAUUAAAUAAAUUUUUGUAGAAUUAAAAUUAUUCAUCAUUAAUAAGUAUGUUAUAAUAUAUAUUUAAUAUUAAUUAAUUUUAUUUUUUUUAGUUUAAUAUUAAAAUAUAUUAAUUAAUUUUAAAUUUUUUGAAAUAAUGAUUAAAUUAGUAUAAUAAAUUGUAUAUUUUUAAUUAUAUUUUAUGAUAAAAUAAGGAACUCGGCAAAAUUUAUUCUCGCCUGUUUAACAAAAACAUGUCCUUUUGAAUUUAAUUUAAGGUCUGACCUGCCCAGUGAUUAUUUUAACGGCCGCGGUAUACUGACCGUGCAAAGGUAGCAUAAUCAUUAGUCUUUUAAUAGAGGGCUGGAAUGAAAGGUUUCACGAGGAAUAGACUGUCUCAUUUUAUUUGUAUUAAAAUUUAAUUUUUUGGUUAAAAAGCUAAAAUUUUAUUGGAAGACGAGAAGACCCUAUAGAUCUUUAUAUAAAUUUAUAUAAUUAUUAUUAUAUUAGUAUAAUUAUAUACUUUUAUAUUUUGUUGGGGUGACAAAAAUAUAUAAAAAACUUUUUUAUUUAAUUAACACUGAUUAGUGAAUUAUAGAUCCAUUAUUAUUGAUUAUUAGAUUAAGUUACCUUAGGGAUAACAGCGUAAUCCCCCUUCAGAGUUCAUAUUUACAGGGUGGGCUUGCGACCUCGAUGUUGGAUUAAGAUAAUAAUUAGGUGAAGCCGCUUAAUAUAUAGGUCUGUUCGACCUUUAAACU